CGGGCAUAUAGUUAUGGCAAUUGAAGUACACAAGUAGACCCUUACACUUGAAUGCUUGAUACAUAUUUUGUACCCUUAUACAUAAGAUAAUAUAUGCUUGGCACUACAUGUGCAACAUUACACUAAUUAUGUAUGUGUACAAUCACUCGAGAAUAAAAAUGGAUGUAUCUAAUAUAAAUGCAGAUUAAACACAUCAAUUUUUUAGAUAUAUAUUUAUAUUUUGAACAGAGUACAUAUAUGCAAUCACUUGACUAACUAUUACAUACAUGAUGGGAAUUAAUGAAGAUGAAAAUAAAUGAAACUUUCCAAAACCUUAAAAAUGGUGGUGAUGAAUGAUGAUAAAGUGUGAGUCAUCCAUAGUUGUGCCAGCAGAGUAACAUGACCAAGCAUCUUCUCAUUAUGUAAAAUCUGCCUCUGUACUCUUUUAAAGCGCCACUGCAUCUCCUUCCAAGCCUCCAACAACAUUGCUCAUCUUUCUUAGAUGUUUUUGAGCUACACUCACCCAUUUAUUAUUUUCUUCUAAAGUGUUCUUAAACUCUUCUAGCUAGUGAGAUACGUUUGCUUGCUACAUCCUGACCUGCAUGGUUAUAUAUAAGAAGAAAAAAAAGAGAGAGAACUAACACUAAGGAGUCACAUUCAUACUUUUUUUAAAAAUAAGUUAAAUAAUAGAACUUACUAAUAUAAAAUAUCUAAAAU
RNAcentral lists this long non-coding RNA (696 nucleotides) under Cicer arietinum (chickpea). RNAcentral describes it as "long non-coding RNA (CARI_LNC000110)". Lineage: Eukaryota; Viridiplantae; Streptophyta; Magnoliopsida; Fabales; Fabaceae. The record is from RNAcentral.